This 500-nucleotide ribosomal RNA is filed under the name uncultured bacterium. RNAcentral's name for it is "partial 16S ribosomal RNA". It matches the Rfam family "Bacterial small subunit ribosomal RNA", at positions 30 to 523 of the family's 1533-position model. The record is from RNAcentral.
AUUGAACGCUGGCGGCAUGCCUUACACAUGCAAGUCGAACGGCAGCACGGGAGCAAUCCUGGUGGCGAGUGGCGAACGGGUGAGUAAAGUAUCGGAACGUGCCCAGUCGUGGGGGAUAACGUAGCGAAAGUUACGCUAAUACCGCAUACGAUCUAUGGAUGAAAGCGGGGGAUCGCAAGAUCUCGCGCGAUUGGAGCGGCCGAUAUCAGAUGAGGUAGUUGGUGGGGUAAAGGCUCACCAAGCCGACGAUCUGUACCUGGUCUGAGAGGACGACCAGCCACACUGGGACUGAGACACGGCCCAAACUCCUACGGGAGGCAGCAGUGGGGAAUUUUGGACAAUGGGCGAAAGCCUGAUCCAGCCAUGCCGCGUGCAGGAUGAAGGCCUUCGGGUUGUAAACUGCUUUUGUACGGAACGAAAAGGUUUGGCCUAAUAAGCUGAGCUCAUGACGGUACCGUAAGAAUAAGCACCGGCUAACUUCGUGCCAGCCGCCGCAGUAA